RNAcentral lists this microRNA (22 nucleotides) under Zea mays. RNAcentral's name for it is "zma-miR2118f". Lineage: Eukaryota; Viridiplantae; Streptophyta; Magnoliopsida; Poales; Poaceae. The record is from miRBase by way of RNAcentral.
UUCCCAAUGCCUUCCAUGCCUA